UGGGGAAUAUUGGGCAAUGGGCGCAAGCCUGACCCAGCAACGCCGCGUGAAGGAAGAAGGCUUUCGGGUUGUAAACUUCUUUUGUCAGGGACGAGGAGAAGACGGUACCUGACGAAUAAGCCACGGCUAACUACGUGCCAGCAGCCGCGGUAAUACGUAGGUGGCAAGCGUUGUCCGGAUUUACUGGGUGUAAAGGGCGUGUAGCCGGGUCGGCAAGUCAGAUGUGAAAUCCACGGGCUUAACUCGUGAACUGCAUUUGAAACUGUUGAUCUUGAGUAUCGGAGAGGCAAUCGGAAUUCCUAGUGUAGCGGUGAAAUGCGUAGAUAUUAGGAGGAACACCAGUGGCGAAGGCGGAUUGCUGGACGACAACUGACGGUGGAGGCGACGAAAGCGGUGGGGA
Molecule: ribosomal RNA, 400 nt
Filed under: uncultured Pseudoflavonifractor sp.
Lineage: Bacteria; Bacillati; Bacillota; Clostridia; Eubacteriales; Oscillospiraceae
Description: bacterial SSU rRNA
Rfam family: Bacterial small subunit ribosomal RNA
Source: RNAcentral